GCGCACCAGUCGCGAAACCUCCACAAUGCGGGAAACCGUGGUGGGGGAAUCCGAGUGCCCGUUGGCUAAUGCUGGCGGGCUUUUCUCAAGCGUAAAAGGCUUGAGGAAUAAGGACUGGGUAAGACCGGUGCCAGCCGCCGCGGUAACACCGGCGGUCCAACUGGUGAUCAGCAUUACUGGGCCUAAAGCGUCCGUAGCCGGAUGGUUGGAUUCUGAGUGAAAUUUCCCAGCUCAACUGGGAAGCGUGCUUGGAACACCCGCCAUCUUGGGACCGGGAGAGGUGAGAGGUACCUCAGGGGUAGGGGUGAAAUCUUGUGAUCCUUGAGGGACCACCAGUGGCGAAGGCGUCUCACUAGAACGGCUCCGACGGUCAGGGACGAAAGCUAGGGGGCACGAACCGGAUUAGAUACCCGUGUAGU
Molecule: ribosomal RNA, 419 nt
Filed under: uncultured microorganism
Description: bacterial SSU rRNA
Rfam family: Archaeal small subunit ribosomal RNA
Source: RNAcentral